UCUAGCAAUUGUACUGACCCUCCUGUGUUCUGGGGAACCUGCGGGGAGCCUUCCCACGGAGAACUUUACAAAUAAGAAGAUUCAUUAGUUCCCAGCUCGUGGUGAUGCUUUCUUCAAUCCUUUAAAUUCUGUGUUUCUCAUCUCCAAAAUGGGAAUCACGGACAUCCUCUUGGGGUUGUUGACGGUCGAGAGAAAAGACACGUUGGAGAGCCUGGCUGCCGUCUGGCCCGUGACAGAUGACGGAGGGUCGGUGCUCAUUAUCAAUGGACGAGGGACAAGCUUGGGCUUUGUGGGGCGUUUCCAUGAUCAAUAACGUAGUUCCUCUUGGAAUUCUCGCCGUGCUACAGGAACCGUUACGUCGAACACCUUCCCGUCAGCAGCCGUGAACGGGCUGACCCACGGCAGAACGGAAGUGACCAGCAGCUCCCGUGAGCUGAAUUCACCGUGUUUUUGACAAAUGACCGGGAAGCGACAAGUCCCAAAUGUUUCCUCAGUUUCCAGGAGCGGCUGUCUUGGGAACGGACGACCUCGUCCUGGGAGAGCCACUUGGGAGUCCCUGCCCGGCCGUGUCGCCUGCUCUCCUGACCCUCCGUCACCUGCCUCUUCUCUGGGCUUCUUCGCUUUCUCCCUCACUCCCCAAGUUUCAGAAGAUGAUGCUGUUGAAGAUCAGUGGAAAAUGGCCAGGGAAACCCGCAACGCCAACCACACCGUCCCUGGUCACACACAAAGGCAACAUCAUCUACCUACUCGGGCUCCUGGUUCUCAGCUUUUCAUGAAUUGA
RNAcentral lists this long non-coding RNA (781 nucleotides) under Suricata suricatta (meerkat). Its description in RNAcentral is "lncRNA (ENSSSUG00005013628.1)". Lineage: Eukaryota; Metazoa; Chordata; Mammalia; Carnivora; Herpestidae. The record is from RNAcentral.